Molecule: small RNA, 108 nt
Filed under: Flavobacterium sp. MedPE-SWcel
Lineage: Bacteria; Pseudomonadati; Bacteroidota; Flavobacteriia; Flavobacteriales; Flavobacteriaceae
Description: 6S RNA
Rfam family: 6S-Flavo RNA
Source: RNAcentral
ACUCAACACUAACAAAUUAAGAUGGGUAAAUCUUCGUUUCUAAAGCAAGCUGCCUUGAGCAGAUCCUUGAACAACGAGUUAGCCCAAAACUUGUCGAUUUACGAGUUU